This 647-nucleotide ribosomal RNA is filed under the name uncultured bacterium. RNAcentral's name for it is "bacterial SSU rRNA". The stretch from base 1 to 543 matches the Rfam family "Bacterial small subunit ribosomal RNA", at positions 338 to 873 of the family's 1533-position model. The record is from RNAcentral.
CCUACGGGAGGCAGCAGUGGGGAAUUUUGGACAAUGGGCGAAAGCCUGAUCCAGCAAUGCCGCGUGAGUGAAGAAGGCCUUCGGGUUGUAAAGCUCUUUUGUCAGGGAAGAAACGGUGAGGGCUAAUAUCUCUUGCUAAUGACGGUACCUGAAGAAUAAGCACCGGCUAACUACGUGCCAGCAGCCGCGGUAAUACGUAGGGUGCAAGCGUUAAUCGGAAUUACUGGGCGUAAAGCGUGCGCAGGCGGUUUUGUAAGUCUGUCGUGAAAUCCCCGGGCUCAACCUGGGAAUUGCGAUGGAGACUGCAAGGCUAGAAUCUGGCAGAGGGGGGUAGAAUUCCACGUGUAGCAGUGAAAUGCGUAGAGAUGUGGAGGAACACCGAUGGCGAAGGCAGCCCCCUGGGUCAAGAUUGACGCUCAUGCACGAAAGCGUGGGGAGCAAACAGGAUUAGAUACCCUGGUAGUCCACGCCCUAAACGAUGUCUACUAGUUGUCGGGUUUUAAUUAACUUGGUAACGCAGCUAACGCGUGAAGUACGACCGCCGUCGGGAGGUACGGUCGCGAAGAAGUAAAACGUAACUAAAUAGAAGUUAGUACGGCGUGAGACGUAGACCGAACGGACGACCGACGAGGGGAGGGUUAGGGAGG